Molecule: long non-coding RNA, 6630 nt
Organism: Homo sapiens (human)
Lineage: Eukaryota; Metazoa; Chordata; Mammalia; Primates; Hominidae
Exons: 4
Source: RefSeq, a predicted model, not a curated record
UGAGAAGGGAGGAGUUAUUCAUCUCCUUAAGCUUUCAGGCCCCGGGGAGAAUUUACAGUAUGAUAUUAAGAUUGUUAUACACUAAGUUGGGAUGAUGAAAUUGAUAUAAACAAAUAGAGUUAAAAGCUACUUUAGAAAUAUUAUUUACACUUUAUGUCCCUUCUUUUUUAUCCAAGAUAGAAACGUUUCUGGAGAAAAUAACAGAAGACAUGGCAGGAGAAAUGAUUGAGAGCUUUUCCAGUUUGGCAUGGAAACAAAGCAAAGCAAUUUCAGUGUGGUAACAAGACUAAGGAGGAGACAGAUGCUGUGCGGGCAACAGUACCAGAGCUAAGGGAUGAGAAACUUCUCCAUAAGAUGUCCCUUUAUUGCUCCAGCAGCUAUUAUGGGCUGCGUCUCCCCAAGCAUGGCAGCUCACCACUGUGGAACCCUAAAUAGAAUGACACUCAGUGUUGAAUGGCAAGGCCUCUGGUCAUAAAUAAGAUAAGCCGAAAGACAUUUGAUGGUUAUCACAGAAAUGGACUUUCCUUACUUGGAAUUUUCCUGCCUAAACAUCCACAGGGAAAAGCUACAUGUUGGGACUUCAUAAUUCAUUUCAAGCAUUUUGUUUGCAAAUCUCAAAGCUUGAUUUUUUUUCUAAGUUUGCAGGUACUUCAAUAUUUGUAUUUCCAUUUCAGAUUUUUAAAAUUCAUUGCUUUAAAGAACUACAUCUGAAGAACAAUGUUUAGCUCUUUAUUUAUUAUUGUAUUUUAUUUAUCUAAAGACCAAUAUGUUGCUUCCUACUGAUAACAUCAGAUGAAUAUUAUCGUGAAGUUAAAUUAGCUUCUUCAACAGUGAGCUCUGUGGAAUAGAUGCACCUUUCCUUCUAGUGUGACCAUUUGAGAUGGAACAGACCAGAGGAUUUUCCAUCCCAUUGCUAGAAUAUGUUUCUGUGACAAAGUUCUAGCAAGUUUUAGUCCGUAAUCCAUUUCAAGAGAAAUUCCCAUUUCUGUUUUUUUUUCAAUUAUGUCUUUUAACUUAUAUUUUCUGGAUCUUAUUCCAUUUGAGUGAAAUGUGAAUAGAUGAAGAGAUGUGGUAUCAGAGCUCAUUAAACAAAACUUUUCUGGUAACAUGUUUCAUCCUAUUUAGUUAUUUGAAUUCAGAUAAGCUUAAAGGAAAAGAACAAAACAAAGCUAUAAAGAAAAUUGGAAGUUAUUCAUUGUCAUUCAUCAUAAACAAGCUCAGAGGCUGGGAUAUUUGGCACGAUGACAAUGAAACUGCAGGAAAUUGAGCACACUCCAAUGUUGGUGAGGACGGUCCAUCCAUUCUGCAUAUGUCUGCGUCUUUGGGACUUAGAGUCUGGCAAGUAGAAGAGGGAUUUCAUCUUGUUGGAAAAUAUAAGUUGGAAAAUCAACCCACAUGAAAUUGCAGAAGCCAAGGGGUUUCACUGAUGGAAAAAUGGAGAAGGAAGAUCUGAUGAAACAGCAAGUCCUUAAGAGUGGGAGCCAGAAGUUUAAGUUGUAACAGGUUUUGGAUAAGAUUCAGAACUUAGAGGAUAACGAACUGCAGAAAAAUUCUUUGGAAGAUAAUGACUAGAGAAAAAUUCUGGGUCAAAGGCAGCUAUUGUGGUGCAUAGUUAUUCAGAUUUCAAAUUUGAAAAGAAAUCAUUGUUUCAUAGGCCGAAAGGUGAGCCACUGGUAUCUGUCAUCAGCAAACAGGAAACAUGAAGAAGAAGUACAUUUAUUCUAUAGGUUGCAACACACAGUACAAAUAUACCAUUAGAAUACCUAAAAUGCAAGAUGAAUCAGUCCCGUGAAUUGAAACUUUGAUUUUGUUCUUGAGCUAGUAAAGUUUACAGAGUUCUAUGAGGAAGGACAUCUGUAAAAUAUCUUACAAUACGUUGUCUUCUAUUUUGAGAGAAAGGGAAAGUAUCUUUGCACUGUGAAUAUACCCUUUGUAUUAUUAACUGUGAGGACAUGACAAGGCUAAACAAUUGCUUCUUUCUUGUCAAAGUUUCGUUUGCUUUGGUUAGUGCCAUUGUUUGAGAAAAUUAAACAAGUUUCCAUGUUUUAGGCUUCUUGACGUUUUUUGAUGUUCCACUUAACUGCAGUGGAAUAACUCGAUGGAACAAUUCAAGGCAGCUGUGCUCUGAUCCUCAGUUGCCCUCCAAGGAUAACAUGACACAUUUGAUAAACACAUUUCCUUUAACACCAAGUUCUCCAGGUCAGGCAGGCAUAGCAUAUAGAUGAAACUGAUCUGAGCCUUCAUCCUGAGGGAGAAGAGGGUUAGAGAUGAAGGUAAACCUGGAUCCCGGUUUUAACCCUGCAACAUACUAGUCUCCUGAACUUGAGUAUUUGUAAGUACAGAAUCUGAGAUUAGCUUUGCCCAUGGCUUUCCACACAUUGAUAUUUGAUGGGACCUGACCCUUAAAUAAUCCCAAGUCAUAGAAAAAGAAUUUUGUGGAAUAGUUGCACAGAGCAUUUGCUUACUCAGUUCUGUUGCCCAGGAGCCCAAACGGUAGAGGGAGGAGAAUGUGAAUUCUGGAAUUAGGAAGACUUGAGCUUGAUUUCACCUUCUGCCAUUGAACAACUGCUGAGUAAUGGAGAAAGCUCACAAAAGAAGAGAAGGGACAUGCUUCACUCAGGUAGGCAAUAUUGCUUCUUUAACCCCAGGUGCAGCUAUAGAGGCUUCCAAGUAUAUUAAGGUAAGAAGGCAUUUGAGAAUGGAGUUUACGCUGCAGGUACCCAUGUCUUCCCGCAUACUCCGGAGACUAGAUUUGGGUUUGAAUCGAUUCUGUGGCUUUCUUUUACAAAUUUCACUCCAGCCUAACAUUGUCUCAACAUUGUCCUCGCCCACUACCAAUAAUUUCCACUUUAGUAACAACAUUCAACUAUUCUUGAGAAUAGCUGAGCCUCAAAUUGGGUAACACCACCUCAUAGUGUCAUAGAACUGAGAUCCCGUGACCCUACCAACCUAUAGGUGUGCAGUGCAUCAGCUGCUGCAACUUGUUACCCAACUGCUGCCUCUGGUCAAUUAACAAAAAUAAACUUCUUUCAUAAAGGCAACUUGUUGGCAAAGAUUUUCUUACUUAGUAAGUCUUUCCACCUCUGGUAUUAUAACAGAGAGGCCAAAACAAAAUUAAAAUUAAGAUUGUCAUCAGUAAGUUCUCAGGGUUAAGUACGUAUACCGCUUUUGAGUUAUCUUUAAAACAACUUAAGCCAAAUCCUCCCUUAAAAAUAAUGGUUUGAAUUAAAUCUCAUGUCUCCCAACCUGCAAUCCAUGAUGAACAAGCUGAACUACAGCCUUAAACAACAGAGAAAUCCUUGGAACCAACAUUUAAUUAAAAAGACCAUUAGACGGUGCCUCAUUGGAAGCACAGAACAUGCUUAAAUGAAUUUUUCAAUAUGUAGAUAAAUGUUUUACCAUUAGGGUUUCUUAAAGGAAGUAAAAAUUGGCAACUCAUUAAGAGUGUACAUAGGUACUAUAAACAGACAACAAAGUGCCUCUGGCAUGUUUCAUGAUUUAGACAUCAAAAGAAAAAGUCAUAAAAUCUACUUGCAGUAAAACAAAGUCCAUUUUUCCUCAACAAGGCUGGUAUCUAUUAGCUACCUCAUAUGUGGAGAAAGAAAAGUUACCAGUCCUUUAAUCAGAUAUAUCUGAAAUGUUUUGGGAAUAAAUAUGAAAUAGCGAAGAGUGUAUGUAUUUGAUGUUUUCUAUUUUUUACACUAUACAAAUGAGAAUGACCUUGGUGGUUUAAAACAUUCAUCCUCUCUGUUUCUAAUAAUACCUACAAUCAGUUGUGUGUAUUAAAAGCUUUGUUAAUAAUCUACAAGUGGUAGGUGACCUCAGCAUUUAGUUCUGUGGUUUAAAGCAUGACCAAGAUUGUGUUUUUGUUUUCCCCAUUUUACAGCUAAAAAGUAUGAUGUUAAAAAUACUGACAAAAACGAGUUGUUGCUAUAAAUAUGUGAAUCAAAUGGGAAUUUUCUGGACUUUGUUAUUAUGAACAUUGCACAAAGAAAAAGCCAAUGCAUCACACCAGAAUGUCAGUGGGAUAGAGUACUGAGCCAAAGGAAAAGGGCAAAGAGCCCACUUUGGUACACCUGGAGUAGAUUACACACAUGGGGUUGAUCUUUCCCUUGAAGCCAAAAAGCUCUGGUAAUGUGCUCUCCACAGUACAUGAUAGAGCAGGGUAAAGCUGGAAAUUAAUCACCCAGUGCUACCAGAGCAGUUCAUUACAUGCAAUUGACAGCUUCCUCUCUGUAUUUUUAGAUGGCUAAGAAUCAAGUAGUUGCACAUCAAAAUGUGAUUUUUUUUCUUGCUUCUUGGCACAGGACCCGUAUCUGUCAUCAUUUCAUGUCCUCAAAGGCCUGAGAGAAGCUGCCAUCCUUGGGCAACAAAGGAUGCCAUGCAAAGCAGCUCAGAACUUGAGUUGUUUCAACAGAUGCUGUUUUAUGUUUUGCCAAAGAAUGGCCCCUUUUAUUUCUGUCAUGAAUGCAGUCUUUCUUUCAGUUUCUAAAUGUUUGCCAGUAUUAACCCUAAUCCUUAUCUGUCAUUCUUUUAGGAUGAUGGGCUGUCCUUUUUCCUUUGGAACCAGCAUAACCUUCACCAUGUAAAUAUGGAUUGCAAAGAAAUGGAAACGUGGUGCUGUUCACCUUACAGCCCCUGAUGAUUUCUUAUAGUGGGGGAGAGGGGGAUUGCACUUCAAGGUCAGAGUAGCUGAGCCACGUUAUUCCAGUGUAAGAAAAAAUGCUAACAUUGAAAUGAGCAAUUUUCCCCUGUAAAGAUUCUCUGCCUAGGGGAAUAGAAAGAUCAGAAAAGGGAGCUGGUGGAGGAAAGAACUAGAAUAAACAAAGCAAGCUCAGAACAAUUUAUUCCUAUGUUUGUUUACUGAAAUAGAACCAGGAAGGACCGAUGAAGGUCUGAAUUAAUGUAAUUUAUAAGAAGAGAGGCUCCCCUCCAAGGCAAUGAAGUGAUCUCUUUCCAAAUAUGUAACCAGGAGUGGCUCCCUAUAAACCCAAGGCAUGUCAGGGCAAAGAUGGUAUUCCAGAUCUUUACAGCCUCCCCACUUUUUGCCUCAGAGAGAGUUCCUAAUUCACCAUUUAGGGAUUCAGAAUUGUUAAUCAAACUUGCUCUGAUGAAAUUUUGAGGGUUGUUCUGUUUCUUGUCACAAGUUGAAUUGUUCAAAAGCACUGCAUCACAGAUCUGAUUUUCCGCAUUGCGCUAGCAUUUUCUUACCUUGGGGCAGGCAAAGGGCUAGUCAAACUUUAAAAUUGGAACUUCUUCCAUUUUUUUCCCUCAGAGCAUUUGAAGUUUUUUUGUUUUGUCUGUUUGCUUUGUGUCUGUUACAUUUCUCUAUUUUGCUUUUCAAGUGCAAAACUACUGUGCUGGAGAUGAUAGAGGGGAUACAUAAAGGGGGAAAAUACAUGCUCAAGGAAGUUCACAGAGUGGAUACUCUAUAUCCAAUAAUAACAGUGAGGAAAGAAAGAAUGCAGUUGAAGAUAUGAGGGGCAGAGUAAUACAGAGAUUUUCACAGAUUUAGAGGAUUGCUGCCCAAAUCCUUCUGUUUCUCUCUUUUUGUUCCUAGUGAGAGUUGUUAAAAUAGCUAACAUCAACAUGCCUAUUCUGCACAGAGGAAGGAUAUAUGAAGAAAGCAAGAAACCACUAGCCUAUGUGCAGGGUGAUAUGCCUUACAGCCAUGCUCAGUUACUAUUUUUGAUCGUGGGCCUAGAAAUAACCAUCUGGGCAAUCAGACUUUUGCAUUGACAUGCAAUGUUGGCUAAAUCCACAGGCAGCUGGCUGAGUACUAUUUAAACUCAGUGCUGAGAUGGGAGUAGGCCCUGACAGGCAGUAGUUAGGGGACACUCAUCUAUUCUACCCAUGUCAACAGUAAUGAUACUGUAAUUCUUUCCAAAAUGUGGUCCUUUUUGCUAUGUUUUGACAAGCUGGCUGUUAUUCUAACUUUCUGUAUUAUUGGAAACACACAGACUAGACAUUGAUACACAUAUAUGCAUAUGCAUGUGUUUAUAUGGCUGUAUACAGUUAUGGAAGAAUCCAUGAGAGUCAAUCAUCCAUAUUUAUUAAGUAUGUACACUAUGCAAAGCACUUUAUUGUGUGAUAUAGAAAAAUAUGGAAAAAUUGUAAGCACACUAAGUCCAGGAGAGGUUGAUUCACCUAUUUUCCAGAACCUCACUUUGUGUUUCUAUUAAGUGACGUAUAGGGAUCUGGUGGCAUCCAAUAUCAUUUCUAGGUCUUUAAUUCUAUGAUUCCAUCAUUUUGGAUGGAAAUUAAAUAUACUGUUAAAGACAUAUGGACUGGAUUCAUGGUUACAAGCAUAAGCUUUGGUGUCAGAUUCAUUUUAAAUACAAGUGCGGCUUCUGCCACUUUAAAGUUCUAUGACCCUGUGGCAUUUAUUAAAUUGGGCUUUAGUAUCCCCAACUAUAAAAUAGGAAAUUGUAAUUGUGAUCUAUCUCAUAGGGUUGUUUUAUAUAUUGAAUGUGAUAAAGCAUGUAAAGCAUUUUUCAGAAAUUGUGGUAAAGGACAAUUAUUACAAAAAUGUUAGCGCUUUUAUGCUAUCAUGAUGGUAGUUAUAGAAGCAUUGAAAACUGGGAAAAGUAAGUCAGCAGAACUCAAUAAACUUGAUUCCUUUGCACUGCC